AAAGAACCCUAAGCUUGCAAUCAGAAGGACCCAGUUCAAGUCCUAGUGUUUUCCUCUUGCCAGCUAUGUAAAAUUGGACUAUGCCUUAUCCUUUCUGAGUUUCAUUUUCCUUGUUAUUAAAAUAGAGGUGAUACUUCAACUUCCUACUUAAAUAGAAUCUCAGGAUCAAAGGAGAAAAUCAUUGUUGAGUCACAUCAGCAGAUCCUGGGAAAAGGUCAUUGCAUGGUUUUGGACAUGGCAGCAUGAAGACACUUUUGGAAAUGUCAAGAAAUAUUUGACAUUGGAUUCUGUACUAUACUACAUUAGGAUGAACAUAAAACACCACUUUUUACCAAUGGCACUUCAUAUAAGAGGAGAGCCAAGUAUGCAGGAAAGCACAGGGAAGAAUCAGAGGCUCAAAGGGCAAGUAAAAAUAAGGUGAGUAAUUAAGUUUAAGUAGAUAAUUGGAUUUCUGCUUUUGAAAGUGGCUUCUGUUUGCCCCUGUUUGUGUUCAGGCAUGUGAAGAAUUUACUAAUUGUAAACUAACAGAGGAUAAAGAGAUAGCCUCCUAUCAAGAGGAAGGGCACAGACCAUCAAAAAUAUAUU
This 585-nucleotide long non-coding RNA is filed under the name Monodelphis domestica (gray short-tailed opossum). RNAcentral's name for it is "lncRNA (ENSMODG00000046275.1)". The record is from RNAcentral. Lineage: Eukaryota; Metazoa; Chordata; Mammalia; Didelphimorphia; Didelphidae.